This 220-nucleotide unclassified non-coding RNA is filed under the name plant metagenome. RNAcentral describes it as "partial contains small subunit ribosomal RNA, internal transcribed spacer 1, and 5.8S ribosomal RNA". The record is from RNAcentral.
UCUCCGUAGGUGAACCUGCGGAGGGAUCAUUACAGAGUUCGUGCCCUAACGGGUAGAUCUCCCACCCUGUGUUAUUAUACCGUUGUUGCUUUGGCGGGCCGCCCUAGGCUACCGGCCCCGGCUGGUACGCGCCCGCCAGAGGACCCCAAACUCUGACUGUUAGUGUCGUCUGAGUACUAUACAAUAGUUAAAACUUUCAACAACGGAUCUCUUGGUUCUG